GACGAACGCUGGCGGCGUGCUUAACACAUGCAAGUCGAACGGAAAGGCCCUGCUUUUGUGGGGUGCUCGAGUGGCGAACGGGUGAGUAACACGUGAGUAACCUGCCCUUGACUUUGGGAUAACUUCAGGAAACUGGGGCUAAUACCGGAUAGGAGCUCCUGCUGCAUGGUGGGGGUUGGAAAGUUUCGGCGGUUGGGGAUGGACUCGCGGCUUAUCAGCUUGUUGGUGGGGUAGUGGCUUACCAAGGCUUUGAAGGGUAGCCGGCCUGAGAGGGUGACCGGCGACAUUGGGACUGAGAUACGGCCCAGACUCCUACGGGAGGCAGCAGUGGGGAAUAUUGCACAAUGGGCGGAAGCCUGAUGCAGCAACGCCGCGUGCGGGAUGACGGCCUUCGGGUUGUAAACCGCUUUCGCCUGUGACGAAGCGUGAGUGACGGUAAUGGGUAAAGAAGCACCGGCUAACUACGUG
This 468-nucleotide ribosomal RNA is filed under the name uncultured bacterium. Its description in RNAcentral is "partial 16S ribosomal RNA". It matches the Rfam family "Bacterial small subunit ribosomal RNA", at positions 28 to 507 of the family's 1533-position model. The record is from RNAcentral.